GCAAGCAUGAAAUGUGAGGCAGAAAGAGUGGAUAAUGCAUCUCAUGUGGCCUCCAAAUGGCUUCCUGCCUUCCAAGCUGAUUUGUUACCAGGCAAGUUCACUUGUGAAAAAUCUCUCCAUCUCUGCAUCUGCUCUACUUUGCUUAGCUAUUAUAACCCGGCAUGUGGGUCCAGAAGAGAGUCCUCUGUGUUCCUCUCUCAGCGUGAGAUUCCCCUCAGCUGGCUCCAAGACUCGGAUUGGCAUCCAGAAACGGUCAGAGAACAAUCCAUGGCAGUGGAGAGGAAGAAUAGCUUGAAUAAAUUGUCCUAGAAGACAAGACAUAUGAGGAGCAGUUAAGGAAACUGGAGUUGAUUAGUCUGGAGAAGAGGAGGCUCAGUGAAGACCUCGUCACUGUCUACAACUACCUGAAAAGAGAUUGUAGUGAGGUGGGUGUCUACUUCUUUUCUCAGGUGACAAGUAAUAGGACAUGAGGAAAAGUCCUCAAGUUGUGCCAGGGGAGGUAUAGAUUGGAUACUAGGAAGAACUUCUUCACAGAGAGGCAUUGAAACAGGCUGCCCAGGGAAGUGGUGGAGUCCCCAUCCAGGAGGUAUUUAAGAGAUGUGUGGAUUUAACGCUUAGGGACGUGGUUUAGUGGUGGAGUUGGUAGUGUUAGGUGAUGGUUGGACUUGAUGAUCUUAAGGGUCUUUUCCAGCCUAAAUGAUUCAAUGGUUCUGUUCCAAAUCAGUCUCUAAGUAGCACGCCACAUCCUUUAUAAAAUGAUUUCAAGUUAUUCCCCAUUUUCUGUGUGAAGGAGAAGAGAACAUCCAGUCAGCUCUUACUGAGUAGAAGGUAAUAAAAUACAGUGG
RNAcentral lists this long non-coding RNA (845 nucleotides) under Anser brachyrhynchus (Pink-footed goose). Its description in RNAcentral is "lncRNA (ENSABRG00000011861.1)". Lineage: Eukaryota; Metazoa; Chordata; Aves; Anseriformes; Anatidae. The record is from RNAcentral.